Molecule: unclassified non-coding RNA, 90 nt
Filed under: Pseudomonas yamanorum
Lineage: Bacteria; Pseudomonadati; Pseudomonadota; Gammaproteobacteria; Pseudomonadales; Pseudomonadaceae
Source: RNAcentral
UGUGGGAGCGGGCUUGCUCGCGAAUGCGGUGGAUCAGUCAGUACAUCUGGCGACUGACACUCCGCAUUCGCGAGCAAGCCCGCUCCCACA